Molecule: small nuclear RNA, 53 nt
Organism: Oncorhynchus mykiss (rainbow trout)
Lineage: Eukaryota; Metazoa; Chordata; Actinopteri; Salmoniformes; Salmonidae
Gene: U7
Rfam family: U7 small nuclear RNA
About the family: Animal histone pre-mRNAs are spliced by a different mechanism than nuclear pre-mRNAs and self-splicing introns.
Source: Ensembl
AAAUGUCCUCUUUUAGUAUUUGUCCAGUAGGUUUCCUCAAGUGGAAAUCCCCC